RNAcentral lists this transfer RNA (77 nucleotides) under Bacillota bacterium. RNAcentral describes it as "tRNA-Met". It matches the Rfam family "tRNA". Rfam says of the family: Transfer RNA (tRNA) molecules are approximately 80 nucleotides in length. Their secondary structure includes four short double-helical elements and three loops (D, anti-codon, and T loops). Further hydrogen bonds mediate the characteristic L-shaped molecular structure. tRNAs have two regions of fundamental functional importance: the anti-codon, which is responsible for specific mRNA codon recognition, and the 3' end, to which the tRNAs corresponding amino acid is attached (by aminoacyl-tRNA synthetases). tRNAs cope with the degeneracy of the genetic code in two manners: having more than one tRNA (with a specific anti-codon) for a particular amino acid; and 'wobble' base-pairing, i.e. permitting non-standard base-pairing at the 3rd anti-codon position. Lineage: Bacteria; Bacillati; Bacillota. The record is from RNAcentral.
UGCAGAGUAGAGAAGUGGCUGUCUCAUCAGGUUCAUAUCCUGAGUUAUGCGUGGUUCGAAUCCCGCCUCUGCAACCA